This 775-nucleotide ribosomal RNA is filed under the name uncultured Neocallimastigales. RNAcentral's name for it is "partial large subunit ribosomal RNA". It matches the Rfam family "Eukaryotic large subunit ribosomal RNA", at positions 23 to 645 of the family's 3401-position model. Lineage: Eukaryota; Fungi; Neocallimastigomycota; Neocallimastigomycetes; Neocallimastigales. The record is from RNAcentral.
AGAGAUGUGUGAUGAUGCAUAUCAAUAAGCGGAGGAAAAGAAACUAACAAGGAUUCCCUUAGUAACGGCGAGUGAAGCGGGAAGAGCUCAAAUUUGAAAUCUUCAAGGUUCUACCUUGACGAAUUGUAGUUUAUAGAAGUGUUUUCUGUUAGUAGAGUGGCAAAAGUUCUUUGGAAUAGGACAUCAUAGAGGGUGAGAAUCCCGUAUUUGGUCAUUCCUUCUAGCUUUGUGAUACACUUUCAACGAGUCGGAUUGUUUGGGAAUGCAGUCCAAAAUGGGUGGUAAAUUUCAUCUAAAGCUAAAUAUUGGCGAGAGACCGAUAGCGAACAAGUACCGUGAGGGAAAGAUGAAAAGAACUUUGAAAAGAGAGUUAAACAGUACGUGAAAUUGUCAAAAGGGAAGCGUUUGACACCAGUGUUGUUUUUCCGAAAAUCAAUUACGAAUGUUUUAGUUUUUAAGAAGUUAUGACUUCAUCGGCUUGCUUCUCUCUUUAUGAAACUUUCUUAAUGCACUUUUCGGUUAACAAGUCAACAUCAAUUUCUUUUGUUGUAAAAGGGUAUGAGGAAGGUGGCUUUCUUUUCGGAGAAAGUGUUUAUAGCCUUGUAGCCUCUGCAAUCGGAGAGAUUGAGGUCUGCAGCGUAGAUCCUUCGGGGUUAGAUACAUUUGUGCUAAGUUAUAGCUUUUCAUAGACAACUUGUUGACUAUGUUAGUCUUGUAGCUUACUCGCUUAUGCUAUUUUACCUACGCUUAGGAUGUUGAAGUCAUCGUAUCGCGC